RNAcentral lists this ribosomal RNA (501 nucleotides) under uncultured bacterium. RNAcentral's name for it is "partial 16S ribosomal RNA". It matches the Rfam family "Bacterial small subunit ribosomal RNA", at positions 28 to 523 of the family's 1533-position model. The record is from RNAcentral.
GAUGAACGCUAGCGACAGGCUUAACACAUGCAAGUCGAGGGGCAGCACAGGUAGCAAUACCGGGUGGCGACCGGCGCACGGGUGAGUAACGCGUAUGCAACUUGCCUAUCAGAGGGGGGUAACCCGGCGAAAGUCGGACUAAUACCGCAUGAAGCAGGGGCCCCGCAUGGGGAUAUUUGCUAAAGAUUCAUCGCUGAUAGAUAGGCAUGCGUUCCAUUAGGCAGUUGGCGGGGUAACGGCCCACCAAACCGACGAUGGAUAGGGGUUCUGAGAGGAAGGUCCCCCACAUUGGUACUGAGACACGGACCAAACUCCUACGGGAGGCAGCAGUGAGGAAUAUUGGUCAAUGGGCGUAAGCCUGAACCAGCCAAGUCGCGUGAGGGAUGAAGGUUCUAUGGAUCGAAAACCUCUUUUAUAAGGGAAUAAAGUGCGGGACGUGUCCUAUUUUGUAUGUACCUUAUGAAUAAGGAUCGGCUAACUCCGUGCCAGCAGCCGCAGUAA